Xenia sp. Carnegie-2017 is the source of this 110-nucleotide long non-coding RNA. RefSeq lists it as uncharacterized. The transcript is spliced from 4 exons. The record is from RefSeq and is a predicted model, not a curated record. NCBI's taxonomy places the organism in Eukaryota, Metazoa, Cnidaria, Anthozoa, Malacalcyonacea, Xeniidae.
AAGCAGUUGGUAUCAACGCAGAGUACAUUGCAAAACAGAGUUCAAACUUUUACAUCUUUGGAUUAAACUACAUUUGAACCUUUUCAUUUUCUUUGUGCAUGCAGUUCAAA